Molecule: ribosomal RNA, 429 nt
Filed under: Gemmatimonadota bacterium
Lineage: Bacteria; Pseudomonadati; Gemmatimonadota
Description: Gemmatimonadetes bacterium partial 16S ribosomal RNA
Rfam family: Bacterial small subunit ribosomal RNA
Source: RNAcentral
UAGGGAAUCUUCGGCAAUGGACGAAAGUCUGACCGAGCAACGCCGCGUGAGUGAAGAAGGUUUUCGGAUCGUAAAACUCUGUUGUUAGAGAAGAACAAGGACGUUAGUAACUGAACGUCCCCUGACGGUAUCUAACCAGAAAGCCACGGCUAACUCCGUGCCAGCAGCCGCGGUAAUACGUAGGUGGCAAGCGUUGUCCGGAUUUAUUGGGCGUAAAGCGAGCGCAGGCGGUUUCUUAAGUCUGAUGUGAAAGCCCCCGGAUCAACCAGGGAGGGUCAUUGGAAACUGGGAGACUUGAGUGCAGAAGAGGAGAGUGGAAUUCCAUGUGUAGCGGUGAAAUGCGUAGAUAUAUGGAGGAACACCAGUGGCGAAGGCGGCUCUCUGGUCUGUAACUGACGCUGAGGCUCGAAAGCGUGUGGAGCAAACAGG